Molecule: ribosomal RNA, 587 nt
Filed under: uncultured bacterium
Lineage: Bacteria
Description: partial 16S ribosomal RNA
Rfam family: Bacterial small subunit ribosomal RNA
Source: RNAcentral
UGGGGAAUUUUGGACAAUGGGCGAAAGCCUGAUCCAGCAAUGCCGCGUGUGUGAAGAAGGCCUUCGGGUUGUAAAGCACUUUUGUCCGGAAAGAAAUCCUUGGCUCUAAUACAGUCGGGGGAUGACGGUACCGGAAGAAUAAGCACCGGCUAACUACGUGCCAGCAGCCGCGGUAAUACGUAGGGUGCAAGCGUUAAUCGGAAUUACUGGGCGUAAAGCGUGCGCAGGCGGUUUGCUAAGACCGAUGUGAAAUCCCCGGGCUCAACCUGGGAACUGCAUUGGUGACUGGCAGGCUAGAGUAUGGCAGAGGGGGGUAGAAUUCCACGUGUAGCAGUGAAAUGCGUAGAGAUGUGGAGGAAUACCGAUGGCGAAGGCAGCCCCCUGGGCCAAAUACUGACGCUCAUGCACGAAAGCGUGGGGAGCAAACAGGAUUAGAUACCCUGGUAGUCCACGCCCUAAAACGAUGUCAACUAGUUGUUGGGGAUUCAUUUCCUUAGUAACGUAGCUAACGCGUGAAGUUGGCCGCCUGGGGAGUACGGUCGCAAGAUUAAAACUCAAAUGAAUUGACGGGGUCAUAGCUGUUUCCU